RNAcentral lists this transfer RNA (76 nucleotides) under Shewanella putrefaciens. RNAcentral describes it as "tRNA-Gly". Lineage: Bacteria; Pseudomonadati; Pseudomonadota; Gammaproteobacteria; Alteromonadales; Shewanellaceae. The record is from RNAcentral.
AAGCUCACCUUGCCCUUCCGCUAAUCCGUCAAUUGGUUUUAAAUUAAAUUCACCGCCAGGAAUGGGACGACCGAUA